This 433-nucleotide ribosomal RNA is filed under the name uncultured bacterium. RNAcentral's name for it is "partial 16S ribosomal RNA". It matches the Rfam family "Bacterial small subunit ribosomal RNA", at positions 29 to 507 of the family's 1533-position model. The record is from RNAcentral.
AACGAACGCUGGCGGCAGGCCUAACACAUGCAAGUCGAGCGCGCCCUUCGGGGUGAGCGGCGGACGGGUGAGUAACGCGUGGGAACGUGCCCUUUUCUACGGAAUAGCCUCGGGAAACUGAGAGUAAUACCGUAUACGCCCUUUGGGGGAAAGAUUUAUCGGAAAAGGAUCGGCCCGCGUUGGAUUAGGUAGUUGGUGGGGUAAUGGCCUACCAAGCCGACGAUCCAUAGCUGGUUUGAGAGGAUGAUCAGCCACACUGGGACUGAGACACGGCCCAGACUCCUACGGGAGGCAGCAGUGGGGAAUCAUAGACAAUGGGGGCAACCCUGAUCUAGCCAUGCCGCGUGAGUGAUGAAGGCCUUAGGGUUGUAAAGCUCUUUCAGCUGGGAAGAUAAUGACGGUACCAGCAGAAGAAGCCCCGGCUAACUCCGUG